RNAcentral lists this transfer RNA (72 nucleotides) under Phlebiopsis gigantea 11061_1 CR5-6. Its description in RNAcentral is "tRNA-Pro (AGG) (tRNA-Pro-AGG-2-1)". It matches the Rfam family "tRNA". From Rfam's summary of the family: Transfer RNA (tRNA) molecules are approximately 80 nucleotides in length. Lineage: Eukaryota; Fungi; Basidiomycota; Agaricomycetes; Polyporales; Phanerochaetaceae. The record is from RNAcentral.
GGCCUGAUGGUCUAGAGGUAUGAUUCACCCUUAGGGUGGGUGAGGUCCCGGGUUCGAUUCCCGGUUAGGCCC